Molecule: long non-coding RNA, 1199 nt
Filed under: Salmo salar (Atlantic salmon)
Lineage: Eukaryota; Metazoa; Chordata; Actinopteri; Salmoniformes; Salmonidae
Description: lncRNA (ENSSSAG00000112224.1)
Source: RNAcentral
GAAGAGGGGAAAGCAGCACAAUCUGAUGAGUUAGUAUUUACAAUACUAUUUUGAAUUUGAAUAAAUGCUGCAUAUAUUAACAAUGACCAACACAAUUCCCCUAACAAAAAAAGAUUGCAGUUUUUGAAACUGCAGUAAAAUUGCAGUAACUGCAGUCAACUGUGGUAUUUUGGACGCAGUAAUUGCAGAAUAACUGCAGUGGUCUAAGGCACCGCAUCUCAGUGCUAGAGGCGUCACUACAGACCCUGGUUUUAUUCCAGGCUGUAUCACAACCGGACGUUAUUUAGGAGUCCAAUUGUAAGAAUCAACGCUGGUAGAGAUGAGAAGCAGGUACAGGGAGCGAAAAUAUAAUUAUUAACAGACAUGGAACAGGACAGGACAGUGUCUGGACAAGAACACAUAACGAUAUUAACGCAGACACAGGGAACAAACGGGGAAGCAGACAGUUAUAGACCGGGCAAUCAACAAAGGGAAGGAGUCCAAGUGAGUCCAAUAUGUGUUGCUGCGCGUAAUGAUGGUGACAGGUGUGUGUAACGAAGGGCAGCCUCGAGCGCCAGAAGGGGAGAGCAGGAGCAGGCGUGACAGUACCCCCCCAUCUAGAGGCGCCACCCGGCGUCCCACCUGGGAGUGCCUGACGAGGCAUGGGCACAGGACAAGCCGGCUGGGGCGUAGAAGCCCGACGAACUGGCACAGGCGUGGGAGCCUGGUGAACCGGCUCAGGCGUGGGAGCCUGAUGGGCUAGCUGAAGCAUGACGUGGGGUGGGCGCCUGCCGAGCCCACCGAGGCAAGACGACCUCUCGAGCCAGCUAAGGCGUGGAAGCCGAACGAGCUAGCUGAGGCACCCCCGGUUCCCUCGGCUAUAGCACCCGGGCCCGACGUCACCAACCAAAACUCCCUGAUGAUUAUUUUAGUGGUGUGAAUUCUAUGUGUCGACGCUGGUAGAGACGAGAAGCAGGUACAGGGAGUGAACAUUUAAUUAUCAACGGACAUGGAACAGGACAGGACAGCGUCUGGACAAGAACACAUAACGACAUUAAUGCAGACACAGGGAACAAACGGGAAAGCAGACCGGGCAAUCAACAAAGGGAAGGAGUCCAAUGAGCGCUGCUGCGCAUAAUGAUGGUGACAGUUGGGUGAUGGUCAGAUUCACGUUUAUCGUCGAUGGAAUGAGCGUUACACCGAGGCCUGCACUCUGGAGC